AAAAAAAAGAAUAACUCUUUAGUCAAAUUACUAUAUUACCACUCCCCAUUGUGAUCAUGUAAAUCAGGAAGAAUGCCUUGCCUUUCAUUGGGAGAAGAGGCAUUCAGCCAUAAGAAAUUUGUUAACGUGAUCAAAAGCUCAACUUUUUGAAACUAUAGAGAAGAAUUUACACAAUACAUAAAACCAAUAAAACACUUUUAAUACCCAACUCGAUGAAGAGAAACUCAACUCAACCUCAAUCCAAAUCAACUGGAGCCAGCUAUAUGGACCCUUCUCCAUUCUAUGUUUGAAAUACAGUUUCUGUCAGGCAAGCAAUGAUAAAUCCUUAUUGACCACUUACCCCAUGUCAUCCUGGAAUCUGGAUCCACUUCCCAUCUUCUCCACUCCCAUAAAUUAGAUAUGCCCUUAUCUUCUUUGCUGGAGCAUGCCUGUCCAUGCUGGAAAUGGUCAUACUAUUUCAAUCAUCCCUCUCUCAACUUUUCUUUAGUAGGUAUUCCUCAAACUUUCUAAGAACAUGCUCAUUUUUUAUACAAUCAUCCAACAUUUCCAUGCAUCAACUUCAGUACCUUCAUCUAGUGGCUCACUUAUUAUCAACCUAAUAGUCAUUGUCAUAAAUUAAAGUCAAUUAAAUUGCUAUCUAGUAGAACUUCCUCUUCAACUUAGUCAGAAUUUAUGAUCAGAGAAGACACUCCUGCAUUUCUCCAUUUCAACUAUUCCACCUUGAUCCUAUGAGUAACAUCCUCCUAAGUCCACUCCACUCCUCAUCCUUAUAUUACAGAACCUAUCACUUGGCAAAUCUUGUACUCCAUUCCCCUUGCAUGGUUAAAAUAACAAUGCAUAUAUUCCAUUUUACUUCUACUUAACUUUAAACAGUGAAACCAGACUCAAGGGUGUUCUUCUAACAGUCCAGCACCUAGCUAAUCUCAGCUCCAUUUUCACCGAGUACAACUAUUUCAUCAAUCAAAAGCAUCAAUAAGAAAUAUUAACUUAUACAUGCAAUUGACAAUAGAAGUAAUCAUUGAUUAUUUCUUAAUACUUCAAAAAACUGAAAAAAAAGUCCGCAUGCGUCUAAGAUAAGAGCUGCAGAGAUGAGAAUGUUAAGGCGGAUGAGUGGCCAUACUAGACUA
RNAcentral lists this unclassified non-coding RNA (1127 nucleotides) under Hevea brasiliensis (rubber tree). Lineage: Eukaryota; Viridiplantae; Streptophyta; Magnoliopsida; Malpighiales; Euphorbiaceae. The record is from RNAcentral.